AACGCGAAGAACCUUACCAAGGUUUGACAUGGACGGAAAUCCUCCAGAGAUGGGGGGUCCUUCGGGGCCGUUCACAGGUGGUGCAUGGCUGUCGUCAGCUCGUGUCGUGAGAUGUUGGGUUAAGUCCCGCAACGAGCGCAACCCUCGUCCAAUGUUGCCAGCGGGUAAUGCCGGGGACUCAUAGGAGACUGCCGGGGUCAACUCGGAGGAAGGUGGGGAUGACGUCAAGUCCUCAUGCCCCUUAUGUCUUGGGCUGCAAACAUGCUACAAUGGCCGGUACAAAGGGUUGCGAGACCGCAAGGUGGAGCGAAUCCCAAAAAGCCGGUCUCAGUUCGGAUUGGGGUCUGCAACUCGACCCCAUGAAGUCGGAGUCGCUAGUAAUCGCGAAUCAGCAACGUCGCGGUGAAUACGUUCCCGGGCCUUGUACACACCGAUAGC
RNAcentral lists this ribosomal RNA (438 nucleotides) under uncultured bacterium. RNAcentral describes it as "bacterial SSU rRNA". It matches the Rfam family "Bacterial small subunit ribosomal RNA", at positions 958 to 1397 of the family's 1533-position model. The record is from RNAcentral.